This 473-nucleotide ribosomal RNA is filed under the name uncultured bacterium. RNAcentral's name for it is "SSU rRNA". It matches the Rfam family "Bacterial small subunit ribosomal RNA", at positions 26 to 518 of the family's 1533-position model. The record is from RNAcentral.
AGGACGAACGCUGGCGGCGUGCUUAACACAUGCAAGUCGAGCGGAAAGGCCCUUCGGGGUACUCGAGCGGCGAACGGGUGAGUAACACGUGAGUAAUCUGCCCCUAGCUCUGGGAUAGCUCCGGGAAACCGGGAUUAAUACCGGAUACGACCACCUUAGACAUCUUUUGUGGUGGAAAGAAUUUCGGCUAGGGAUGAGCUCGCGGCCUAUCAGCUUGUUGGUGGGGUAACGGCCUACCAAGGCGACGACGGUAGCCGGCCUGAGAGGGCGGACCGGCCACACUGGGACUGAGACACGGCCCAGACUCCUACGGGAGGCAGCAGUGGGGAAUAUUGCGCAAUGGGCGAAAGCCUGACGCAGCGACGCCGCGUGGGGGAUGAAGGCCUUCGGGUUGUAAACCCCUUUCAGCAGGGACGAGCGAAAGUGACGGUACCUGCAGAAGAAGCGCCGGCUAACUACGUGCCAGCAGCCGC